This 470-nucleotide ribosomal RNA is filed under the name uncultured bacterium. RNAcentral describes it as "bacterial SSU rRNA". It matches the Rfam family "Bacterial small subunit ribosomal RNA", at positions 28 to 488 of the family's 1533-position model. The record is from RNAcentral.
GAUGAACGCUAGCUACAGGCUUAACACAUGCAAGUCGAGGGGCAGCAUCAUCAAAGCUUGCUUUGAUGGAUGGCGACCGGCGCACGGGUGAGUAACACGUAUCCAACCUGCCGACAACACUGGGAUAGCCUUUCGAAAGAAAGAUUAAUACCGGAUGGUAUAGUUUUCCCGCAUGGGAUGAUUAUUAAAGAAUUUCGGUUGUCGAUGGGGAUGCGUUCCAUUAGGCAGUUGGCGGGGUAACGGCCCACCAAACCUACGAUGGAUAGGGGUUCUGAGAGGAAGGUCCCCCACAUUGGAACUGAGACACGGUCCAAACUCCUACGGGAGGCAGCAGUGAGGAAUAUUGGUCAAUGGACGAGAGUCUGAACCAGCCAAGUAGCGUGAAGGAUGACUGCCCUAUGGGUUGUAAACUUCUUUUAUACGGGAAUAAAGUGAGCCACGUGUGGUUUUUUGUAUGUACCGUAUGAAUA